RNAcentral lists this ribosomal RNA (1146 nucleotides) under Halomonas sp. MML1938. RNAcentral describes it as "bacterial SSU rRNA". It matches the Rfam family "Bacterial small subunit ribosomal RNA", at positions 66 to 1204 of the family's 1533-position model. Lineage: Bacteria; Pseudomonadati; Pseudomonadota; Gammaproteobacteria; Oceanospirillales; Halomonadaceae. The record is from RNAcentral.
GCGGAAACGAUGGAAGCUUGCUUCCAGGCGUCGAGCGGCGGACGGGUGAGUAAUGCAUAGGAAUCUGCCCGAUAGUGGGGGAUAACCUGGGGAAACUCAGGCUAAUACCGCAUACGUCCUACGGGAGAAAGCAGGGGAUCUUCGGACCUUGCGCUAUCGGAUGAGCCUAUGUCGGAUUAGCUAGUUGGUGAGGUAACGGCUCACCAAGGCGACGAUCCGUAGCUGGUCUGAGAGGAUGAUCAGCCACACUGGGACUGAGACACGGCCCAGACUCCUACGGGAGGCAGCAGUGGGGAAUAUUGGACAAUGGGGGAAACCCUGAUCCAGCCAUGCCGCGUGUGUGAAGAAGGCCUUCGGGUUGUAAAGCACUUUCAGCGAGGAAGAAGGCCUGGGGGCUAAUACCCCUCAGGAAGGACAUCACUCGCAGAAGAAGCACCGGCUAACUCCGUGCCAGCAGCCGCGGUAAUACGGAGGGUGCGAGCGUUAAUCGGAAUUACUGGGCGUAAAGCGCGCGUAGGUGGCUUGAUAAGCCGGUUGUGAAAGCCCCGGGCUCAACCUGGGAACGGCAUCCGGAACUGUCAGGCUAGAGUGCAGGAGAGGAAGGUAGAAUUCCCGGUGUAGCGGUGAAAUGCGUAGAGAUCGGGAGGAAUACCAGUGGCCAAGGCGGCCUUCUGGACUGACACUGACACUGAGGUGCGAAAGCGUGGGUAGCAAACAGGAUUAGAUACCCUGGUAGUCCACGCCGUAAACGAUGUCGACUAGCCGUUGGGGUCCUUGAGACCUUUGUGGCGCAGUUAACGCGAUAAGUCGACCGCCUGGGGAGUACGGCCGCAAGGUUAAGACUCAAAUGAAUUGACGGGGGCCCGCACAAGCGGUGGAGCAUGUGGUUUAAUUCGAUGCAACGCGAAGAACCUUACCUACCCUUGACAUCGUGCGAACUUUCCAGAGAUGGAUUGGUGCCUUCGGGAACGCACAGACAGGUGCUGCAUGGCUGUCGUCAGCUCGUGUUGUGAAAUGUUGGGUUAAGUCCCGUAACGAGCGCAACCCUUGUCCCUAUUUGCCAGCGAUUCGGUCGGGAACUCUAGGGAGACUGCCGGUGACAAACCGGAGGAAGGUGGGGACGACGUCAAGUCAUCAUGGCCCUUA